CCUACGGGUGGCAGCAGUGGGGGAUAUUGGUCAAUGGGGGAAACCCUGAACCAGCAACGCCGCGUGAGGGAAGACGGCCUUCGGGUUGUAAACCUAAGUGAUCAGGGAUGAAACAAAUGACAGUACCUGAAAAGCAAGCUCCGGCUAACUACGUGCCAGCAGCCGCGGUAAUACGUAGGGAGCAAGCGUUGUCCGGAUUUACUGGGUGUAAAGGGUGCGUAGGCGGGAACACAAGUCAGGCGUGAAAUACCGGGGCUCAACUCCGGGGCUGCGCUUGAAACUGUGUUUCUUGAGUGAAGUAGAGGCAGGCGGAAUUCGUGGUGUAGCGGUGAAAUGCUUAGAUAUCACGAAGAACUCCGAUUGCGAAGGCAGCUUACUAAACUGCCACUGACAUUGAUGCUCGAAAGUGUGGGUAUCAAACAGGAUUAGAUACCCUUGUAGUC
Molecule: ribosomal RNA, 443 nt
Filed under: uncultured bacterium
Lineage: Bacteria
Description: partial 16S ribosomal RNA
Rfam family: Bacterial small subunit ribosomal RNA
Source: RNAcentral